This 253-nucleotide ribosomal RNA is filed under the name uncultured bacterium. RNAcentral's name for it is "partial 16S ribosomal RNA". It matches the Rfam family "Archaeal small subunit ribosomal RNA", at positions 474 to 727 of the family's 1478-position model. The record is from RNAcentral.
UACCAGCACCCCGAGUGGUCGGGACGUUUAUUGGGCCUAAAGCAUCCGUAGCCGGUUCUACAAGUCUUCCGUUAAAUCCACCUGCUCAACAGAUGGGCUGCGGAAGAUACUAUGGAGCUAGGAGGCGGGAGAGGCAAGCGGUACUCGAUGGGUAGGGGUAAAAUCCGUUGAUCCAUUGAAGACCACCAGUGGCGAAGGCGGCUUGCCAGAACGCGCUCGACGGCGAGGGAUGAAAGCUGGGGGAGCAAACCGG